This 607-nucleotide ribosomal RNA is filed under the name uncultured bacterium. Its description in RNAcentral is "bacterial SSU rRNA". It matches the Rfam family "Bacterial small subunit ribosomal RNA", at positions 338 to 947 of the family's 1533-position model. The record is from RNAcentral.
CCUACGGGAGGCAGCAGUGAGGAAUAUUGGACAAUGGGCGCAAGCCUGAUCCAGCCAUGCCGCGUGCAGGAUGGCGGUCCUAUGGAUUGUAAACUGCUUUUAUACAGGAAGAAACCACUCUACGUGUAGAGUCUUGACGGUACUGUAAGAAUAAGGAUCGGCUAACUCCGUGCCAGCAGCCGCGGUAAUACGGAGGAUCCAAGCGUUAUCCGGAAUCAUUGGGUUUAAAGGGUCCGUAGGCGGUUUAGUAAGUCAGUGGUGAAAGCCCAUCGCUCAACGGUGGAACGGCCAUUGAUACUGCUAGACUUGAAUUAUUAGGAAGUAACUAGAAUAUGUAGUGUAGCGGUGAAAUGCUUAGAGAUUACAUGGAAUACCAAUUGCGAAGGCAGGUUACUACUAAUUGAUUGACGCUGAUGGACGAAAGCGUGGGUAGCGAACAGGAUUAGAUACCCUGGUAGUCCACGCCGUAAACGAUGGAUACUAGCUGUUGGGGGCAACUUCAGUGGCUAAGCGAAAGUGAUAAGUAUCCCACCUGGGGAGUACGAACGCAAGUUUGAAACUCAAAGGAAUUGACGGCUGAGAGAGCGAGAGACGACGAGGGAGGAGG